Molecule: long non-coding RNA, 436 nt
Filed under: Helianthus annuus (common sunflower)
Lineage: Eukaryota; Viridiplantae; Streptophyta; Magnoliopsida; Asterales; Asteraceae
Description: sRNA HanXRQr2_Chr01g0012981
Source: RNAcentral
GUUAUUAUAUUAUUUAUCACUUAAAUAUCAAGUUUAUGUGGGUUGUUUUAAUAUAAGUUAUGAAGGUACAAUCUGAGAUGAUUUGGCUCAUGGCAAAGGUGUUUAUAACGCUGAGCAAGGGCUGGUCAUGUUUGGUUAUGUUGUGGAUAUUCUUGGAACCUACAUAACGAUUUCAAAGGUCAUCAUGCCAAAAUGAUCAAAGACCUUCACCACCGGUUGAAAAUUUUUACUAACGUCCGAUUAAGGUUCUCUAUACGGGUCCGUUGAAGAUCAAUAUUCAUCAUUGGAAUGCUUACAAAUGUCGGUAAUAGGGGAUUUGAGCGAAUUUAUAACAUUCUCAAGUGGACAAUGGAACACGUGAUGGAUUAGUCGAGUUUCUAAGAACUGCUGCCAAAGACCCAGAAUUAGUUGUCCACUAUGAUUUUAUGCAUGUUAU